GUACUCUCUUCAGCAGCAUGUAUACUAAAAUUGAAACAAUACAGAAAAAAUCAUCAUGGCCCAUGCACAAGGAUGAUGAUGCAUAAAAUUGUGAAGCAUUCAGUAUUGUU
Small nuclear RNA from Acomys russatus (golden spiny mouse), 110 nucleotides. Lineage: Eukaryota; Metazoa; Chordata; Mammalia; Rodentia; Muridae. The record is from RefSeq and is a predicted model, not a curated record.